This 478-nucleotide ribosomal RNA is filed under the name uncultured bacterium. RNAcentral describes it as "partial 16S ribosomal RNA". It matches the Rfam family "Bacterial small subunit ribosomal RNA", at positions 28 to 507 of the family's 1533-position model. The record is from RNAcentral.
GAUGAACGCUGGCGGCGUGCUUAACACAUGCAAGUCGAACGAGAAAUGGAGACGGAAACCUUCGGGCGGAAGGCUUCAUUUCGAGUGGCGGUCGGGUGAGUAACGCGUGGGUAACCUGCCUCAUACAGGGGGAUAACAGUUGGAAACGACUGUUAAUACCGCAUAAGACCACAGCACCGCAUGGUGCGGGGGUAAAAACUCCGGUGGUAUGAGAUGGACCCGCGUUCGAUUAGCCAGUUGGCGGGGUAACGGCCCACCAAAGCGACGAUCGAUAGCCGAUCUGAGAGGAUGACCGGCCACAUUGGGACUGAGACACGGCCCAAACUACUACGGGAGGCAGCAGUGGGGAAUAUUGCACAAUGGGGGAAACCCUGAUGCAGCGACGACGCGUGAGUGAAGAAGUACUGCGGUAUGUAAAGCUCUAUCAGCAGGGAAGAAAAUGACGGUACCUGAGUAAGAAGCCCCGGCUAACUACGUG